This 955-nucleotide ribosomal RNA is filed under the name Limnadia lenticularis. Its description in RNAcentral is "eukaryotic LSU rRNA". It matches the Rfam family "Eukaryotic large subunit ribosomal RNA", at positions 78 to 920 of the family's 3401-position model. The record is from RNAcentral. Lineage: Eukaryota; Metazoa; Arthropoda; Branchiopoda; Diplostraca; Limnadiidae.
CCCUAGUAGCGGCGAGCGUAGAGGGAAGAGCCCAGCACCGAACCUCGCGCCCUCGGGUGUCGCGGAAUGUGGUGUUCAGGAGGACCGUGCGCGUCUGUCCGGUAUCGUCCAAGUCUCCAUGAAUGGGGCCAGCAACCCAGAGAGGGUGUCAGGCCCGUGGGACGAGCCGCGACCGUGUAUUGGGUCUCUCCUUAGAGUCGGGUUGCUUGAGAGUGCAGCCCUAAGCGGGAGGUAAACUCCUUCUAAGGCUAAAUACGGCCACGAGACCGAUAGCAAACAAGUACCGCGAGGAAAGUUGAAAAGAACUUUGAAGAGAGAGUUCAAGAGUGCGUGAAACCGUUCAGGGGGUUAAACGGGUGGGCCCUCGAAGGUCGAACGGUCCCCACUCCCGUCACCUGUAGUGCCGGCCCGUGCUGCUUUUCGAUUCCGCUACGGAACGAGGCUUGGUGCGGUUCGCCGGUCUACGGGGGCCGCUAGCUGGGGACCCAGUAGGACUCCGCAACCGGCUGGGAGGCCGUCAGAAGGGUUCUGUGAGGAAGCCCCCUCGUUGGGGUGGAUUCCGGGAUUCCGGGCGGUCCUCUCGGCCGUGAACCAAAAUUUCUCUCCUCACGGGGAGAAUGAGCGGAGAGUAGAGUCGGGUCCCACCCGACCCGUCUUGAAACACGGACCAAGGAGUCUAACAUGUGCGCGAGUCGUCGGGUACUACUAAACCCGAAGGCGUAAUGAAAGUGAAAGGCGCCCUUGUUGGCGGCCGAGGGGAGAUCCCGUUCUGCUCCGGUAGCUCGGGCGCAUCCCCGGGCGUCGAAGCCGCGUUGCCGGCUAGACGAACCAAGAGCGUACACGUUGGGACCCGAAAGAUGGUGACCUAUGCCUGGCCAGGACGAAGCCAGGGGAAACCCUGGUGGAGGUCCGCAGCGAUUCUGACGUGCAAAUCGAUCGUCUGAGUUGGGUAUAG